Molecule: non-coding RNA, 93 nt
Organism: Dufourea novaeangliae
Lineage: Eukaryota; Metazoa; Arthropoda; Insecta; Hymenoptera; Halictidae
Source: Rfam
GUGUCGUUCGCAGCACGCGUUACUCGGGUACUUCAGGCUGUGCCAAUGUCGAGUCAGUCAGGUACCUGAAGUAGCGCGUGCUGCAACGAAACC